Molecule: ribosomal RNA, 148 nt
Filed under: uncultured Corynebacterium sp.
Lineage: Bacteria; Bacillati; Actinomycetota; Actinomycetes; Mycobacteriales; Corynebacteriaceae
Description: partial 16S ribosomal RNA
Rfam family: Bacterial small subunit ribosomal RNA
Source: RNAcentral
GAUCCAGCCAUGCCGCGUGUGUGAAGAAGGCCUUUUGGUUGUAAAGCACUUUAAGCGAGGAGGAGGCUACUUGGAUUAAUACUCUAGGAUAGUGGACGUUACUCGCAGAAUAAGCACCGGCUAACUCUGUGCCAGCAGCCGCGGUAAU